GGCUGCCAAAGAGUUUCCUGCUCGGGGGCCACCCAUCCUUGGCCGCAGGAUGCAUGGUUGGAACUCAUGGCAACUUGCACCGAGUGAGUGCCGGGACUUUCUGUUCUCGGGGCUCAUGCUUUGGAUUCCAUCCCUCAGGCCCGUGGCACUCAUCAGUGGAGGCUGUUGUGUUGGUGCUUGUUUGGGACUAGCUCAGAACACAUGUCACAGCGGCGGUCCAAGACCCAGCUCGCAGGCUUGGAGCAGGGACAAUGCUCUGUAAAGACUUACAAGCUGAUCUUCCCUGACGUUAAUGCAGGCUCAGCGUUCCCACAAAUCAGCUGCAGGGGAGGCAGGCAUUCCCUCCACCUCACUCUCUGUGAAUUAACUUCUGGAACUGGCAGGCAACGCAGAUGACCACCAGAGGGUUUCAACAAUGCUACCCCACCCUCUUUGAAGUCCACCUUGGCAGACGCUGAUCUCUUUUCAUGUAUUAUUUAUUGCCAUGGACUGUGACAGGGAGAAUCCCCAGAAGAUGGCUGGGGCUGUUUUCUCAGGAUUUCCUUUGAUUGGAAGCUGUUGGCGGUGCCUUCCGCAGCUGGCUCUGCCACAGAGCGGAGGGAUCAAUGUGUCACCCAAGCGAGAGCUGUACAAAGGAGGUUCUGGCUGUGAAAAUACCUUGGAUACUCUUAAGAACUCAGCAUGCUGCUGGAUCAACCCAGUGGAAGCAGGAGAAAAGAUCAACCA
This 726-nucleotide long non-coding RNA is filed under the name Dasypus novemcinctus (nine-banded armadillo). Its description in RNAcentral is "lncRNA (ENSDNOG00000050997.1)". Lineage: Eukaryota; Metazoa; Chordata; Mammalia; Cingulata; Dasypodidae. The record is from RNAcentral.